CAUUUCUUAUAUAUAUACAAGAGAGUACUGAUCUAACAUGAAAUACAGGAGACACGAAACGGCAAGAGCUGGCUUAUCUUCAUCUAUCACUCGCUUCCUUUGGAGCUUCUUCCAACAAUGAUCGCAAGAUUUCGCCAGCGGAGCAAUUGUUCUCGAAAUCUGCGAUCCCAAGCUCAGGGAGAAUGCUCUUCACGAGCACCUUUUACGAAAGCAACCUAGAAUCUUAUAUAUAUGCUACCAAAAAGAAGGUCUCAAAGAAACACAGGGAAGUAAAAAAGCUGGUUGGAGAAGAACGAAGCUGAGCAGAAAAAGGGAAUGUUGCUUCAUACCUUUUUAUGUCUUUAAAAUUAGAGAGAGUUAACAUGACAAAUCUUUGUAACAGGACUGCUAUGUGGAGCAAGCCAGUGUUCACGUCAGAUGUAGUGUACACCAAUGUACAUAUUCUGCAAAACAAGGUUAAGAAGGUGAAUAGAAUUCCAAAGCCAAAGAUAGAGAAAGCAAGCAAGAAGGAGAAUGCAACGGAGGAGGAUAAAUCAAAAGGCUCUGAAGACAACACCAAUGCUUAUGAAUCUGAAGCUGGUGCCAAAGAAGAAGGGGGCCACGACUAGCUUAGAUUAACAUCACACACAUAAUAAUAGAGUUUUCCAUUAAAUUUAUAUAUAUAUAUAUAUAUAUAUUUAUUAAACUUAUAUUUUGUAUGUGUUUAAGUGUCAGAUAGGAGGUUGGUUAGUAAAAAAGCCAACCUAAGCUGAGCAAAAGGAUUUGAUUUCAUUCUCAACCUCUUUAUCAUAUCAAGUUUGGUGUCUU
Molecule: long non-coding RNA, 807 nt
Organism: Raphanus sativus (radish)
Lineage: Eukaryota; Viridiplantae; Streptophyta; Magnoliopsida; Brassicales; Brassicaceae
Exons: 3
Source: RefSeq, a predicted model, not a curated record